AGUGAACGCUGGCGGUAGGCCUAACACAUGCAAGUCGAGCGGAUGAAAGGAAAUUGCUUCUGGUUUCGGCGGCGGAUGGGGGAGUGGUGCCGAAGAAUCUGGCAGUUAGUUUUUGGUAGGGGCCUAAGGCGGGAAAUAUUACCGCAUACCUCCUGAGGCCGAACGGGGGAAAGCAGGGGACCUCAGGCCCUCAGCUGAUCCGAGGUCGGAUUAGCUAGUUGGCGGGGUAAAGGCCUACCAAGGCGACGAUCCGUAGCUGGUCUGAGAGGAUGAUCAGCCACACUGGAACUGAGACACGGUCCAGACUCCUACGGGAGGCAGCAGUGGGGAAUAUUGGACAAUGGGCGAAAGCCUGAUCCAGCCAUACCGCGUGGGUGAAGAAGGCCUUCGGAUUGUAAAGCCCUUUUGUUGGGAAAGAAAAGCAGCAGGUUAAUACUUCGCUGUUCUGACGGUACCAAAAGAAUAAGCACCGGCUAACUUCGUG
RNAcentral lists this ribosomal RNA (484 nucleotides) under uncultured bacterium. Its description in RNAcentral is "partial 16S ribosomal RNA". It matches the Rfam family "Bacterial small subunit ribosomal RNA", at positions 29 to 507 of the family's 1533-position model. The record is from RNAcentral.